UACGUAGGGCGCAAGCGUUGUCCGGAAUUAUUGGGCGUAAAGAGCUCGUAGGCGGCUUGUCACGUCGGGUGUGAAAGCCCGGGGCUUAACCCCGGGUCUGCAUUCGAUACGGGCAGACUAGAGUGCGGUAGGGGAGACUGGAAUUCCUGGUGUAGCGGUGAAAUGCGCAGAUAUCAGGAGGAACACCGGUGGCGAAGGCGGGUCUCUGGGCCGUAACUGACGCUGAGGAGCGAAAGCGUGGGGAGCGAACAGG
This 253-nucleotide ribosomal RNA is filed under the name uncultured bacterium. RNAcentral's name for it is "partial 16S ribosomal RNA". It matches the Rfam family "Bacterial small subunit ribosomal RNA", at positions 524 to 776 of the family's 1533-position model. The record is from RNAcentral.